Molecule: long non-coding RNA, 860 nt
Organism: Myotis brandtii (Brandt's bat)
Lineage: Eukaryota; Metazoa; Chordata; Mammalia; Chiroptera; Vespertilionidae
Exons: 4
Source: RefSeq, a predicted model, not a curated record
CCAAGAACAGUCUCUGGCCUUUAUACUGAGACAAUGUCUGUGAAGGACACAGAGUAAGAAUAUCAGCCUACCAGUAAUGGAGAAAUCAAAUCUGAAAGGAAUGUCUCACGGGCUAAAGAACUCAGCAAGAGAUGAUGGAAGGGAGGAUAAAACGGUGUGAGACAGUUCCAGCUACCCCACAUAAACAGACAGAAGUAAAGCCACAAAAAGUUUCCCUGUACGGACCUCUUCUUGUCCACUUCUACUUACGGAGAUAACACCUUCUGACACCAGGACAGACAACUAUGUGCAGUGUUUCAUAUUCCCACCACUUAAAGAUACGGAGCAGAUACCCUUAAAAUUGAGCUGGCACAAUGGCAAGAAGAUGGAAGAGUGAAUGAAUGAGGGGCAGCACAAGAGAGGGAGAAAGAGAAACAGACACGAGAUCGGAGAGCGUGGAUAAGCUGGUUCUUGCAGAACUGUGUCUCAGAAGAGCUACAGCUCCCUCUUCAUGUCACAGUUGUAAGAUAAGAAAUGUUGCCAUUAAGAACUGGUUAAUUAGAGGGAAAUAUACCCAGGUUAGCGGAUGCUCUAUCGGAUCUGAUUUUUAUGAACGUUUUGACUCUGUUUUGUGAUCAGGAUUGUACUGAAAAUCUUUUCUUGAUAAACAGCUAAACAAAUUUGGAUAAAACCUUGAGUUUUGAAUGAAAUCUGAGUUUUGACUUGAUUGCCAUACAUGUCAGUGAAGAAACCUAGCCAGUUUGUUAAGUCGAGUAUUUAUUUUGGAAAAUAUUAAUCCCUGUUAACUUUUAGAGAUCUAGUGGUAUAUACUGCAAUGUAAAAAAAAUAUCUAAAUAUCUAUCAAUAAUUAAUUAUCUAAA